CCUACGGGAGGCAGCAGUGGGGAAUAUUGGACAAUGGGCGAAAGCCUGAUCCAGCCAUGCCGCGUGUGUGAAGAAGGCCUUCGGGUUGUAAAGCACUUUCAGUGGGGAAGAAAGCCUUGGGGCUAAUACCCUCGAGGAAGGACAUCACCCACAGAAGAAGCACCGGCUAACUCCGUGCCAGCAGCCGCGGUAAUACGGAGGGUGCGAGCGUUAAUCGGAAUUACUGGGCGUAAAGCGUGCGUAGGCGGUCUGAUAAGCCGGUUGUGAAAGCCCCGGGCUCAACCUGGGAACGGCAUCCGGAACUGUCAGGCUAGAGUGCAGGAGAGGAAGGUAGAAUUCCCGGUGUAGCGGUGAAAUGCGUAGAGAUCGGGAGGAAUACCAGUGGCGAAGGCGGCCUUCUGGACUGACACUGACGCUGAGGUGCGAAAGCGUGGGUAGCAAACAGGAUUAGAUACCCGAGUAGU
RNAcentral lists this ribosomal RNA (464 nucleotides) under Vreelandella stevensii. Its description in RNAcentral is "partial 16S ribosomal RNA". It matches the Rfam family "Bacterial small subunit ribosomal RNA", at positions 338 to 794 of the family's 1533-position model. Lineage: Bacteria; Pseudomonadati; Pseudomonadota; Gammaproteobacteria; Oceanospirillales; Halomonadaceae. The record is from RNAcentral.